ACAAGUUAGGGUAUCUAGAGAGCUUGGAAUCGGUGACAUGUAUGAAUAAUCUGGUCGUUAUCAUUAGUAUUAAAAAUAUUUAAAUUACAUAUUAAUAUUUUUUAUUCAUUUUUUUAUAUAAAUUAAUUUUUAGAAAAAAAACGGAAGAUGGAGUUGUUGCCAGAUGAAUUGGUGUAGACUCUUCCUCUUUAAGCUCAGGCGUCAAUUGAAUUGGCUAGGCCUAUAGGAGGCGUCAAUUCAAUUGACGUCAACUCUUUAAUUUUAAAGGCAG
This 271-nucleotide long non-coding RNA is filed under the name Lathyrus oleraceus (garden pea). RNAcentral's name for it is "Pisum sativum (pea) long non-coding RNA (PSAT_LNC024746)". Lineage: Eukaryota; Viridiplantae; Streptophyta; Magnoliopsida; Fabales; Fabaceae. The record is from RNAcentral.